Non-coding RNA from Crepidotus variabilis, 123 nucleotides. Lineage: Eukaryota; Fungi; Basidiomycota; Agaricomycetes; Agaricales; Crepidotaceae. The record is from the annotation of a GenBank genome assembly.
GGACCCCUAGCUCAGUUGGUAGAGUACGAGAUUCCAGCGUCAGCCCGGGGCUACAUGGCGCUCUCUGUGUAGCCUCGGGCUGCGGAUUCCUCGGGGUCAUCCGUUCGAAUCGGGUGGGGUUCA